UGCAGCAAUGUGUUGAUCAGAAAUUUGACUAUACUGGCUCCACAUGACUCUCCCAACACUGAUGGAAUUGAUCCAGAUUCGAGCAGCAAUGUGUGCAUUGAGGAUUGCAACAUCUCGACGGGAGAUGACCUGAUCGCCAUCAAGAGUGGAUGGGAUGAAUAUGGCAUAGCCUAUGGUCGCCCCAGCUCGGGCAUCACCAUUAGGCGGAUCACGGGCUCCUCCCCUUUUGCUGGCUUUUCUGUCGGGAGUGAGACCUCUGGCGGUGUGGAGGAUGUCCUCGCUGAGCAUCUGAAUUUCUACAGCUCAGGGUUUGGUGUUCACAUCAAGACCAACUCCGGCAGGGGAGGGUUCAUUCGAAACAUCACCGUCUCUGACGUGAUCUUGGACAAUGUCCGUUAUGGUCUGAGGAUUGCCGGUGAUGUUGGAGGACAUCCUGAUGAGCGGUACGACCACAAUGCGCUCCCAAAGGUCGACAGCCUGACAAUAAAGAAUGUUCAAGGGCAGAACAUCAAGGAGGCUGGGCUGAUCAAGGGCAUUCCAAACUCGGCAUUCUCCUGGAUCUGUCUGUCUAACAUUAAGCUUCAUGGCAGCGCGCCAGUCCGCCCAUGGAAAUGCGCGGCUGUGAGUGGAGGUGCACUCGACGUGCAGCCCUCCCCGUGCACAGAAUUGACUAGCACGUCCGGGAUGAGCUUCUGUACGAGUUCCCUCUGA
This 711-nucleotide ribosomal RNA is filed under the name Triticum aestivum (bread wheat). RNAcentral describes it as "partial small subunit ribosomal RNA". The record is from RNAcentral. Lineage: Eukaryota; Viridiplantae; Streptophyta; Magnoliopsida; Poales; Poaceae.